CGUGAUUUGGGCUAUAUUACGGACCCAAAAUUACUUUUUCAAGCAUUGUUUUCGAAUAUUUUUCAUGCAUCAAAGCUCGUUAAGACUAGAUGGGGUAUCCCUACAUGGCGGGUGGGACCCACGGCGAACGGUUCAUCAAGACUUAAAAAAAGAAUAGAUACGAUUGCAUUGCAUAUACUAACGGAUGCGAUCAUACCAGCACUAAUGCACCGGAUCCCAUAAGAACUCCGCAGUUAAGCGUGCUUGGGCGAGAGUAGUACUAGGAUGGGUGACCUCCCGGGAAGUCCUCGUGUUGCAUCCCUCUUUUUUUUUUUUUUUUUUUUGGUUAAAACUUUAUGACUCUAUAACUUCUAUACCGUGAGGCCAAACUUGGCAUGUGAUACCUUUUCGGAAAGCCCAAAGAGAGCCCUCCGACGAAAGAAGCAAGACAAUGGAACUUUUCCAUUGACUUUUUGUCGACUCCAAAUUUUGACCUUUACCUACUUUUUCGGGAAUCA
This 497-nucleotide ribosomal RNA is filed under the name Arabidopsis thaliana (thale cress). The record is from RNAcentral. Lineage: Eukaryota; Viridiplantae; Streptophyta; Magnoliopsida; Brassicales; Brassicaceae.